RNAcentral lists this ribosomal RNA (253 nucleotides) under uncultured bacterium. RNAcentral describes it as "partial 16S ribosomal RNA". It matches the Rfam family "Bacterial small subunit ribosomal RNA", at positions 524 to 776 of the family's 1533-position model. The record is from RNAcentral.
UACAGAGGUCCCAAGCGUUGUUCGGAUUCACUGGGCGUAAAGGGCUCGUAGGCGGCCAACUAAGUCAGACGUGAAAUCCCUCGGCUUAACCCGGGAACUGCGUCCGAUACUGGGAGGCUUGAAUCCGGGAGAGGGAUGUGGAAUUCCAGGUGUAGCGGUGAAAUGCGUAGAUAUCUGGAGGAACACCGGUGGCGAAGGCGGCAUCCUGGACCGGUAUUGACGCUGAGGCGCGAAAGCCAGGGGAGCAAACGGG